UGGGGAAUAUUGGACAAUGGGCGAAAGCCUGAUCCAGCCAUGCCGCGUGUGUGAAGAAGGCCUUAUGGUUGUAAAGCACUUUAAGUGGGGAGGAAAAGCUUAUGGAUAACACCCAUAGGUUCUGACGUUACCCACAGAAUAAGCACCGGCUAACUCUGUGCCAGCAGCCGCGGUAAUACAGAGGGUGCAAGCGUUAAUCGGAAUUACUGGGCGUAAAGCGAGCGUAGGUGGUUUAUUAAGUCAGAUGUGAAAUCCCUGGGCUUAACCUAGGAACUGCAUCUGAUACUGAUAAACUAGAGUAGGUGAGAGGAAAGUAGAAUUCCAGGUGUAGCGGUGAAAUGCGUAGAGAUCUGGAGGAAUACCGAUGGCGAAGGCAGCUUUCUGGCAUCAUACUGACACUGAGGUUCGAAGGCGUGGGUAGCAAACAGGAUUAGAUACCCUGGUAGUCCACGCCGUAAACGAUGUCUACCAGUCGUUGGGUCUUUUAAAGGCUUAGUGACGCAGUUAACGCGAUAAGUAGACCGCCUGGGGAGUACGGCCGCAAGGUUA
RNAcentral lists this ribosomal RNA (549 nucleotides) under uncultured bacterium. RNAcentral's name for it is "bacterial SSU rRNA". It matches the Rfam family "Bacterial small subunit ribosomal RNA", at positions 355 to 896 of the family's 1533-position model. The record is from RNAcentral.